Molecule: small nucleolar RNA, 93 nt
Filed under: Tetrapisispora phaffii CBS 4417
Lineage: Eukaryota; Fungi; Ascomycota; Saccharomycetes; Saccharomycetales; Saccharomycetaceae
Description: Small nucleolar RNA snR57
Rfam family: Small nucleolar RNA snR57
About the family: snR57 is a member of the C/D class of snoRNA which contain the C (UGAUGA) and D (CUGA) box motifs. Most of the members of the box C/D family function in directing site-specific 2'-O-methylation of substrate RNAs.
Source: Rfam by way of RNAcentral
UCAAAGUAUUGAUUGUCUUUGACGAUCUCCCUUACUGAGGAUGUAUAUGCAGGACAAAUUGUUAAUUAGGAAUUCUUCGUUUAUGAUCUUAGA